RNAcentral lists this long non-coding RNA (206 nucleotides) under Marmota monax (woodchuck). The record is from RNAcentral. Lineage: Eukaryota; Metazoa; Chordata; Mammalia; Rodentia; Sciuridae.
CCCACAAUUUUUAAAGCAGUCCUGGUUAAGAACCACCUUAUCAGACUGCCAAUUAAUACACUACUGACUUUCAGAAGCUCCAUUUUAGAGAUGAGCUCAUAGUCUUCUACAGCAGAUGACUAUUUCCCUAGGAAUCUUGCUACUUCAGUGAAACCUGUGGAUGUUAGCAUUUGUAACUCUUCCAUAAUUUACAACAAUGACUGAAG